RNAcentral lists this ribosomal RNA (341 nucleotides) under Paenisporosarcina sp. Its description in RNAcentral is "bacterial SSU rRNA". It matches the Rfam family "Bacterial small subunit ribosomal RNA", at positions 1097 to 1439 of the family's 1533-position model. Lineage: Bacteria; Bacillati; Bacillota; Bacilli; Caryophanales; Caryophanaceae. The record is from RNAcentral.
CGCAACCCUUGAUCUUAGUUGCCAGCAUUCAGUUGGGCACUCUAAGGUGACUGCCGGUGACAAACCGGAGGAAGGUGGGGAUGACGUCAAAUCAUCAUGCCCCUUAUGACCUGGGCUACACACGUGCUACAAUGGACGAUACAAAGGGCUGCAAACCCGCGAGGGGGAGCCAAUCCCAUAAAAUCGUUCUCAGUUCGGAUUGUAGGCUGCAACUCGCCUACAUGAAGCCGGAAUCGCUAGUAAUCGCGGAUCAGCAUGCCGCGGUGAAUACGUUCCCGGGCCUUGUACACACCGCCCGUCACACCACGAGAGUUUGUAACACCGGAAGUCGGUGAGGUAAC